CCCACAGUCCAUAGGUAAGCCUGGGCAGUGCAACUCUCUAGUCUAAUACACCCACAGUCCAUAGGUAAGCCUGGGCAGUGCAACUCUCUAGUCUAAUACACCCACAGUCCAUAGGUAAGCCUGGGUAGUGAAACUCUCUAGUCUAAUACACCCACAGUCCAUAGGUAAGCCUGGGUAGUGCAACUCUCUAGUCUAAUACACCCACAGUCCAUAGGUAAGCCUGGGUAGUGCAACUCUCUAGUCUAAU
Long non-coding RNA from Oncorhynchus keta (chum salmon), 247 nucleotides. RefSeq lists it as uncharacterized. The record is from RefSeq and is a predicted model, not a curated record. The transcript is spliced from 3 exons. NCBI's taxonomy places the organism in Eukaryota, Metazoa, Chordata, Actinopteri, Salmoniformes, Salmonidae.